CAGCUCUAAUCGUUUCCUUAGUGAUACAAAAUCCUUUUCACCACCAUAACCAAGAGAGAGUGUUAGGUAAAAUGAGCUGCCUUGCAACUCCAGCUUCAACCAAAUCCAACAGCCACCCCAAGAAAGGAAAUCAGGACUAUCUCCGCAAGUUAAGAUCAGAGCAAGAAAUUCAAGUAAAGGAAAUUAAGCGAACAAGGUUGAACGUCAAGAGGAUGGAAUGAUGAUCGGAGUCGAUGCAAUUAAAUAAUCAAGUGGAUCUUCCAACGAUUCGUGUCUUCGUACACGAAGUCGUUUAGUAAGGACUUAUUCCGCUGUGCUUUUGUGAAGUGAGAAUUGUAGAAUCUCACCAUCAACUCGGAUUUAUUUGAGAAUAUGUUUAUUCUAUUUUCAAGACCAUGUAAUGAAAUACUUGACUUCUAUGAUAUCAAUUGACUUGGCCUUUGUGCAAA
Molecule: long non-coding RNA, 449 nt
Organism: Salvia hispanica
Lineage: Eukaryota; Viridiplantae; Streptophyta; Magnoliopsida; Lamiales; Lamiaceae
Source: RefSeq, a predicted model, not a curated record